RNAcentral lists this ribosomal RNA (510 nucleotides) under uncultured bacterium. RNAcentral's name for it is "partial 16S ribosomal RNA". It matches the Rfam family "Bacterial small subunit ribosomal RNA", at positions 28 to 507 of the family's 1533-position model. The record is from RNAcentral.
GACGAACGCUGGCGGCGUGCUUAACACAUGCAAGUCGAACGAAGAGCGAUGGAAGCUUGCUUCUAUCAAUCUUAGUGGCGAACGGGUGAGUAACGCGUAAUCAACCUGCCCUUCAGAGGGGGACAACAGUUGGAAACGACUGCUAAUACCGCAUACGAUCUAAUCUCGGCAUCGAGGAUAGAUGAAAGGUGGCCUCUACAUGUAAGCUGUCACUGAAGGAGGGGAUUGCGUCUGAUUAGCUAGUUGGAGGGGUAACGGCCCACCAAGGCGAUGAUCAGUAGCCGGUCUGAGAGGAUGAACGGCCACAUUGGGACUGAGACACGGCCCAGACUCCUACGGGAGGCAGCAGUGGGGAAUCUUCCGCAAUGGACGAAAGUCUGACGGAGCAACGCCGCGUGAGCGAUGACGGCCUUCGGGUUGUAAAGCUCUGUUAAUCGGGACGAAAGGCCUUCUUGCGAAUAGUGAGAAGGAUUGACGGUACCGGAAUAGAAAGCCACGGCUAACUACGUG